Molecule: small RNA, 286 nt
Filed under: Thiohalocapsa sp. PB-PSB1
Lineage: Bacteria; Pseudomonadati; Pseudomonadota; Gammaproteobacteria; Chromatiales; Chromatiaceae
Description: uncultured Thiohalocapsa sp. PB-PSB1 5' ureB small RNA
Rfam family: 5' ureB small RNA
Source: Rfam by way of RNAcentral
CUUCUUCGAUCUGUUGUGGACAGAUGAAAUGAAUGUGGGCAUCGAUACCGCCGGCAGUCAGAAUCUGACCCUCGCCGGCGAUCACCUCGGUGCCCGGCCCGAUCAAAAUAUCGACGCCGGCCUGGAUAUCCGGAUUGCCGGCCUUGCCGAUACCGGCAAUGCGUCCAUCCUUGAUGCCAAUAUCGGCCUUGACAAUGCCCCAGUGGUCCAGGAUCAGCGCGUUGGUGAUGACGCUGUCCAUCACCUCGUCCGCCUGGCGCUGACACUGGCCCAUGCCGUCCCGGAU